This 515-nucleotide ribosomal RNA is filed under the name uncultured bacterium. RNAcentral's name for it is "bacterial SSU rRNA". It matches the Rfam family "Bacterial small subunit ribosomal RNA", at positions 954 to 1466 of the family's 1533-position model. The record is from RNAcentral.
AAGCUACGCGAAGAACCUUACCAGGUCUUGACAUCCCGCUGCCCGGCGUAGAGAUAUGCCUUUCCCUUCGGGGACAGCGGUGACAGGUGGUGCAUGGUUGUCGUCAGCUCGUGUCGUGAGAUGUUGGGUUAAGUCCCGCAACGAGCGCAACCCUUAACCUUAGUUGCCAGCAUUUAGUUGGGCACUCUAAGGUGACUGCCGGUGAUAAACCGGAGGAAGGUGGGGAUGACGUCAAAUCAUCAUGCCCCUUAUGACCUGGGCUACACACGUGCUACAAUGGACGGUACAGAGGGUUGCCAACCCGCGAGGGGGAGCUAAUCCCAUAAAACCGUUCCCAGUUCGGAUUGCAGGCUGCAACUCGCCUGCAUGAAGCCGGAAUCGCUAGUAAUCGUGGAUCAGCAUGCCACGGUGAAUACGUUCCCGGGUCUUGUACACACCGCCCGUCACACCACGAGAGUUUGUAACACCCGAAGUCGGUGAGGUAACCCUUUUGGGAGCCAGCCGCCGAAGGUGGG